GAUGAACGCUGGCGGCGUGCCUAAUACAUGCAAGUCGAGCGAACAGACGCGGAGCUUGCUUCUCUGAUGUUAGCGGCGGACGGGUGAGUAACACGUGGAUAACCUACCUAUAUGACUGGGAUAACUUCGGGAAACCGGAGCUAAUACCGGAUGAUCUUUUGAACCGCAUGGUUCAAUAGUGAAAGACGGUCUUGCUGUCACUUAUAGAUGCAUCCGCGCUGCAUUAGCUAGUUGGUAAGGUAAAGGCUUACCAAGGCAACGAUGCGUAACCGACCUGAGAGGCGGAUAGGCCACCUUGGAGCUGAGACACGGUCCAGACUCCUACGGGAGGCAGCAGUAGGGAAUCUUCCGCAAUGGGCGAAAGCCUGACGGAGCAACGCCGCGUGAGUGAUGAAGGUCUUCGGAUCGGAAAACUCUGUUAUGAGGGAAGAACAUAUGUGUAAGUAACUGUGCACAUCGUGACGGUACCUAAUCAGAAAGCCACGGCUAACUACGUG
This 497-nucleotide ribosomal RNA is filed under the name uncultured bacterium. RNAcentral describes it as "partial 16S ribosomal RNA". It matches the Rfam family "Bacterial small subunit ribosomal RNA", at positions 28 to 507 of the family's 1533-position model. The record is from RNAcentral.